RNAcentral lists this ribosomal RNA (253 nucleotides) under uncultured bacterium. RNAcentral's name for it is "partial 16S ribosomal RNA". It matches the Rfam family "Bacterial small subunit ribosomal RNA", at positions 524 to 776 of the family's 1533-position model. The record is from RNAcentral.
UACGGGGGGGGCAAGCGUUGUUCGGAAUUACUGGGCGUAAAGGGCGCGUAGGCGGCCUGCUAAGUCGGACGUGAAAUCCCUCGGCUCAACCGAGGAACUGCGUCCGAUACUGGUGGGCUUGAAUCCGGGAGAGGGAUGUGGAAUUCCAGGUGUAGCGGUGAAAUGCGUAGAUAUCUGGAGGAACACCGGUGGCGAAGGCGGUUCUCUGGGCCUUGCCUGACGCUGAGGAGCGAAAGCGUGGGGAGCGAACAGG